GCAGCAGCAGCUCUCAACCUGAGUCCCAACAGCUCGACUCUUUAAUAAUUUAAGUGAUUUACACUCCCCAAAGUGCAUCUGAACAGAUUUAUUAUGAGCGUUUGCGACCUGUUCUUCUGAAGCACUUCUCUGAUGUCUGCUCAUCAUUAGAGUUCACCACCCAACUCAGUUCAGAGUGAUAAUAGGAAGUAUUUUCCACUAGGAGCAUGAUGUGAGUGCAAGAGACAUGUGAGCCGCUCCCGGAGCCAAGAAAUAGGGACAGUUUGCCCCUGCAGAACACACACCUGGGAAUAACGGAGCCAGUCACUGGAUGUCACCAUUGAGCUGCAGAAGUGUGGCUGGAAGUCCGUUAUUUAUCUGCUGCUAACAGCACAAGGGUUUGAAGGAAGGAGUCUGUCGCUGGAAGCCCUCGGGAGCAGCCUUCUGAUGCUGCAGGCAACAUCCAAGCCUGAGGGAGGGGAGAAGAAAGAACUCUGGAGUACCUCAGAAGAGAAAGUCUGUCUAGGAGCUGAUGUGCUGAUUUUGUCAUUCCUGAACAAAACAAUAAAAAACCCAAGCCACCAGAUUUCAAAGGAUUCUUGAACCCAUUAAAGAAUGUUCUGGUAAGAUCAA
Pogoniulus pusillus (Red-fronted tinkerbird) is the source of this 612-nucleotide long non-coding RNA. RefSeq lists it as uncharacterized. The record is from RefSeq and is a predicted model, not a curated record. Lineage: Eukaryota; Metazoa; Chordata; Aves; Piciformes; Lybiidae. The transcript has 4 exons.